CAUGUACUCCCUCCGUCCAAAAAUUCUUGUUUUAGAUUUGUCCAAAUACAGAUGUAUCAAGUCGCGUUUUAGUAUUAGAUACAUCCAUAUCUAGAAAAAUGUAAGACAAGAAUUUUGAGACGGAGGGAGUACAUA
Non-coding RNA from Triticum aestivum (bread wheat), 135 nucleotides. The record is from Rfam. NCBI's taxonomy places the organism in Eukaryota, Viridiplantae, Streptophyta, Magnoliopsida, Poales, Poaceae.